Molecule: long non-coding RNA, 645 nt
Filed under: Salmo salar (Atlantic salmon)
Lineage: Eukaryota; Metazoa; Chordata; Actinopteri; Salmoniformes; Salmonidae
Description: lncRNA (ENSSSAG00000103883.1)
Source: RNAcentral
AUUCAAUAAAAUGCAGUGUGGUUGGUCAAUUAUGUCAUUAAUAUACAUUAAUACACAGAGAUUAACCAAUGGCUAUAGAUAUACGAUGGCGUUGGAAAAACCCGCCUUACUUCCGAUUUUUGCCGAACUUCACCGAUUCUUAUUUUUUCCUCUCUAAGCAAAAUUAAAAAAAUCCGCGUUGUCUCGUUCGUCUCGCUCUGGAUCGGCAACAACUCUUGGAAAAGAAGCUCGUUCGCGAGGCCUACCUCGACCUUUCGGAAAUCAAAGUCAUAUUUAAAGUGUUUUUUUCGCUUAGUAUUAUUAUUUUUAAAUCAGUUAAAACUAGUUAUUUUUCUUACUUUUUUAAGAAGAUGUCGAAGUUACUGUUACUUUACAACAAAACAAUUUUUUUUACGGGACUACGCGAGAAUCCUCGGUCUCAAGUGGAAACCAUGCCGGCGUGAUCAGUGUUAUUUUAAGUAAGUCAACUGGGAAAAUCCGACAAAAGCCUGCGGUGUUUAAUAUAAUAACGGGACGAGAUUGGAAGGCCACGUCUAAAACGAAGUGACAGCUUGGCUUUGGCGGAGGCACGGAGAGCUUUUGGAGGAGAUUCACACACGUGACGUUCCAUUGUGUGAAGGCUUUUGGAGCCUCUUUCUUUUCCGG